RNAcentral lists this long non-coding RNA (2294 nucleotides) under Carica papaya (papaya). RNAcentral's name for it is "long non-coding RNA (CPAP_LNC001739)". Lineage: Eukaryota; Viridiplantae; Streptophyta; Magnoliopsida; Brassicales; Caricaceae. The record is from RNAcentral.
AAAGACAGUUGGGUAAGAAGGUGCAGUAUCAGGAAGUUGAGAAGGAGACGUGGCAGAGGCGGCCAACCCAACAGAAAUCUGCAGCUUCUGUCUCUUUUCACAGUGCCCUGCAGCCCCACUGGUAAAGUAUAAAUUCCCAUCUCCACUGAUGUUGAAUAAAGAGUUUCCAUUGUUCAUGUAUAAGAUUGGAUCUUUGAUGUUGCAAGACUUGUAAGAUUCUUCUGUCACUUGGAUAACUGAAUCUUGACUUGGUGGGUACAAGAACACUGUAAAUCAAUCAAAACACUCAAUCUAAGUCUAUAUAUAUACAAACACAUCCAAAUCUUGAAACAACAGAAAAAGAAAAUACUAACAGAGAGAAUCUCCAAUCUUGAAACUGUGGUACUUUGACCAUUUGUUGUAAACCUGUGGAUUAACUUCGCUGGGUACUCCCCAAGCAUUCAGAUCUCCAACCUUGUAUUCCAGGGAAUUAACCACCAAAAUAAGCUGAAAAGUACAGAGCAAAUACCAUCCAAGAUUGCUCAUCCUUCAACCUUUUACUUUUUUUCUUUUUCUUUUUUAUUGCCUAAACUCCCUCUUCCCUAUUAAAAGAUUUUGAUAUUUAUAUACACUCAAGUCCCAAAAGACCUAGGAUAUAAAAGGAAUUUUAAUAUUUUGGAGACAAGGGUUGGAAAAGAAAUCAAUCAUUUGGCUAACAAGGGCACAUGGCCAGUUGAGAUUCGUGAAGUGGGGAUGUCUUUGUUUUAAUAUAUAUAUAUAUAUAUAUAUAUAUCAAAUAUAAUAUUUGAGAAGAAAAAUGCCUCCCUCCCAAUCAUCCUCUAACAAGUUAAUUAAUCAUGGGGAAAAAUAUGGCUUCAAAAAUUUUAAAAUCUUAAUGAACUUACAGCUAGCAAUCAAGUGAAUUCUUUUUUCUUUUUUGAAAUAAAGCAAUCAAGUGAGUCCUUGAUAGCAGAUAUAGACAUCAAUGGGAUGGGGGCAUGUUAUUUUUUUCAAUUCUUUUCCAGAUUUUCUAUUACCAUGUUUUAUACUUCAAGAAGAAGACAUUUACCGUGAUCCCAGCUAUUAUGCAGCAUAUAAUAAUCUUUCUUUUUCUCUUUCUAAAGUUCCUCUUCUGCCUUCUGUAUAAGUGAACUUUUUUUAUAAAAACAAACACCCAUAUGUGCAACCAAACAUUGAGUAGAACUAUAUGCUAAAUUGGAUCAUCAUAGUAUCAAUCAGUCACUUUAUCCGUUCAAUCUGGACAGCAUUAGCAUUGUUUUCUAAAGCACACAGACACAGACACUGUAUGUAUGUAUAUUGCCACAACAACCAAAAAUUAUCUCCUGCAAUGAAAUUGAUAAUGAUACAACUGCAUAAAUUAUGAACAAGAACAGGAAAUCUUCAUUUCACUUAUUAAUCAUUAAAAAAAUAGUUGACUGCACCAUAAUAGCUGAGAGAAAUCACAAAUAAUUGUGCAUUUUCGGCUGGAUAGGGGAGUAUUUCCUAUAGUUCCUUGACCUAAAAAACAUAUCCUUCACUCUAAAAGCACCACUUUUCCACCAUCAAAAUUUCUUUAUCAAACACGGAGUUGACUCAUAUUCCUCACUUAUUAAUCAGAUUGCAGACAGCUAACUGGCUACACUACAACACCAGAGAGUAAGAAAAAGUGGCUGCUUGCAACCUUGCGAGUUCCAAAGGUCUAAUUCCAUGAAAGUAAUUAAUCAUUUAAUGGCUCAGACUCCGUGUCCCUUUCUUUGAUCAUUGACCAAUCUUGUGAUCCUGCAUUAAAGAAGGUUACCGAUAGUAGUUACAAUAACUAAAGAUGAUUAUGGCCAUAAACAAUCAGACAACCAUUCAAGGAAUUUUGUCAAUGUGCAAAAUAAAAAGAGAGUUCUGAAUCUGAAAAUACAGCUGGCUUCCCAAUGCUUUCCAAUAGUUGGCUUGUAAAUUAUCAGUUUGUGUAUUUUGAGUUCAGAGUUCAAGCACUUAGAAGAACUACAAAUGAUGAGGACUUACUUGACUUUUGGAUCUCAGAAAUCACUGUAAGUCGCCUUUGCAAAAGAGAUGCCACAAACAGGAAGAUUGAGCACAUGCCAAACAUCACAGUGAUAGGAAAUGCGUCGACCUUCAAACAGGGAAAUGGUAGAAUCACUCCCAACAUCAGUAAAGAAUUACAGCAUUAUCCAAUGCCUGAGCUCUCCAUUUAUUUUUCUUCAUAAUUUAUAAAUAAUAUCUCUUGAGGGAGUGUGGUUUUGUAAAGUAGGUAUUAUCUUGAUGAUGCCAAUUAAUGUCACGCCACAAAAGGGAUACAUCUC